This is a long non-coding RNA of Nilaparvata lugens (brown planthopper), 264 nucleotides long. RefSeq lists it as uncharacterized. The transcript is spliced from 2 exons. The record is from RefSeq and is a predicted model, not a curated record. NCBI's taxonomy places the organism in Eukaryota, Metazoa, Arthropoda, Insecta, Hemiptera, Delphacidae.
AUCAAUUAUCGUUAUAGCAAAAAGUGUUCAUUUACUACAUUGUCUGCAUCUACAAAAUUUCCACUCUUAGAAUGCUUGGAAGAAAUCUAAUACUGCUACCGAUAAUGAUGAUAAUUGUGAUCACAUUGGAAGUCGUCGCCGAGGUACCACCGAGAACGACAACCUUCUACGAAGGACACACUGAUAAUGGUCCAAGAUUUUAAGCACUUCAUGAGUGACUGACUCCUGUUUAUUUGGAUUAAAUGUAUUCUUGAAAUUUGAAAA